GUGAGCUGAGAGACUAUAGGCGCUUUCGCAUCGCGUAGUUCAAGGAACUAGCCAGCAGGGUCGUUCCUAGAGAACCAAUUUCUCCAUCGGGCCGUUUUCCUGGUUGCAUUCGCACCAGCAGCAGGAUUGGCGGCAUUAACAAACAUCAACAACCGGUGAAUGUUCGGAGCUGUUUUUUUGUUGCGUGCUGUGGGUUUCGUGACAACGGAGAUGGAAUAGCCUAUAAACGCACAAUUUAUGCGAUUGAAAGAACAUGAAAAUCUACUAAAUCUCCUAUGACAAUUUGUAGUGUUAUCAUCGAGGCUGAGAAAAGAACACAACGCUGCAGACAACAGAAUGCCCUGCAAAUCAGGAAAUAUCAUGCGAAAACCUGCGCUCGUCCAAUAGAUACAUAUAUACACUGUGCCACUGGAGAUCCCGUGCUCUGAAAAGUGCGAACAAGGAUGGUACUAUCAGAAUGGGACGUUUAUUGUCGACUCAACUCCGAAUGCCGGUGGAAGGAGGUUACCGGUUGUAGUGGAUGUAACGCCUCAGAAUCUGACAAUCCGUGUCUGCGAGAAUCUGCAGUGGCAACUUGACUGUGGCAAGGUAGUAAUGAGUGUUGGUUUCAUUUACACACAAUAAAUAAGCCUGUCU
Molecule: long non-coding RNA, 636 nt
Filed under: Sinocyclocheilus anshuiensis
Lineage: Eukaryota; Metazoa; Chordata; Actinopteri; Cypriniformes; Cyprinidae
Description: lncRNA (ENSSANG00000044821.1)
Source: RNAcentral